Molecule: long non-coding RNA, 442 nt
Filed under: Helianthus annuus (common sunflower)
Lineage: Eukaryota; Viridiplantae; Streptophyta; Magnoliopsida; Asterales; Asteraceae
Description: hypothetical non coding rna
Source: RNAcentral
GUUGCACACACAUAGAUGCUAUGGCUGCAACUUUGAGUACGCUGUCAAAUGGGAUGUUUGAGUUUGUGAUGUUUGGGUCGAUGAUUGACUCUAGUGCCUCCUUGUUUGUGAGCAGUGGUCGGGCCCACGUGACGAGAUUUUCUUGGCCCGGUGGCUGCAAUAGAUCCACGGGCUUUCUUCCUGUUAGAAGCUCCAGAAGAACCACACCAUAGCUGUAGACAUCACUUUUCACCAGAAGAUGCCCUGUCAUGGCGUAUUCUGGUGCUAGCGUACCCGAAAGUUCCCAUAACAUGAGUUGAUAUGUGUUUAUGAUCAUCCAACGCCGUUCUAGCCAAACCAAAAUCCGAAACUUUUGGUGUAAAAUCAUUUUCAAGUAGAAUAUUGCUGGACUUGAAGUCGCGAUGAAUGACUCGUGGGUUUGAAUCUUCAUGCAAAUACGCUA